CGCAAUGGGGGCAACCCUGACGGAGCGACGCCGCGUGGAUGAUGAAGUACUUCGGUAUGUAAAAUCCUUUUAUUGGGGAGAAAGUUAUUGAUAGUACCCGAUGAAUAAGAGGUUGCUAAACUCGUGCCAGCAGCAGCGGUAAUACGAGUGCCUCAAGCGUUAUCCGGAAUUAUUGGGCGUAAAGGGUGUGUAGGUGGUUGUGUUAGUCUUCUGUCAAAUUCUUCGGCUUAACCGGGGUUCUGCAGGGGAAACGGCACAACUUGAGGAUGCGAGGGGUAUAUGGAACUCAUAGUGUAGGGGUGAAAUCCGUUGAUAUUAUGGGGAACACCAAAAGCGAAGGCAAUAUACUGGCGCAUUCCUGACAUUGAAACACGAAAGCGU
Molecule: ribosomal RNA, 381 nt
Filed under: uncultured organism
Description: bacterial SSU rRNA
Rfam family: Bacterial small subunit ribosomal RNA
Source: RNAcentral